RNAcentral lists this ribosomal RNA (260 nucleotides) under uncultured bacterium. RNAcentral's name for it is "partial small subunit ribosomal RNA". It matches the Rfam family "Bacterial small subunit ribosomal RNA", at positions 26 to 285 of the family's 1533-position model. The record is from RNAcentral.
AGGAUGAACGCUAGCGGCAGGCCUAAUACAUGCAAGUCGGACGGGAUAGGAGAGCUUGCUUUCCUUGAGAGUGGCGCACGGGUGCGUAACACGUAUGUAACCUACCUUGAUCAGGGGGAUAGCCUCUCGAAAGAGAGAUUAAGACCGCAUAAAAUUGCGACACAGCAUUGUGAUGCAAUCAAAUAUUUAUAGGAUCAAGAUGGGCAUGCGGAACAUUAGCUAGUUGGUAAGGUAAUGGCUUACCAAGGCUACGAUGUUUA